This is a non-coding RNA of Triticum aestivum (bread wheat), 150 nucleotides long. NCBI's taxonomy places the organism in Eukaryota, Viridiplantae, Streptophyta, Magnoliopsida, Poales, Poaceae. The record is from Rfam.
UGAGUACUCCCUCCAUCCGAAAAUACUUGUCAUCAAAAUGGAUAAAAGGGGAUGUAUCUAGAUGUAUCCCUUUUAUCCAUUUUGUAUAUCUAGAUACAUCCCCUUUUAUCCAUUUUGAUGACAAGAAUUUCCAGACGGAGGGAGUACAAG